Molecule: long non-coding RNA, 220 nt
Filed under: Vigna radiata
Lineage: Eukaryota; Viridiplantae; Streptophyta; Magnoliopsida; Fabales; Fabaceae
Description: long non-coding RNA (VRAD_LNC016259)
Source: RNAcentral
GAAUGCCUUCAAGAAGAUGUGCUCUUCAGGAACAUCAUGAGGUUUCAUAGUCGAACAGACAAUGUGGAAUUCCUUCAAAUGCUUAUGUGGAUUCUCAAUUGCAAGACCAUGAAACUUGGGCAACAAAUGGAUCAGCCAGUCUUAAGAACAAAUGGAACGUCCUCAUCAGGAUAUUGGAUGCACAAGCUUUCAAUAUCGAAAUCAGGUGCAACCAUCUCCC